This 253-nucleotide ribosomal RNA is filed under the name uncultured bacterium. Its description in RNAcentral is "partial 16S ribosomal RNA". It matches the Rfam family "Bacterial small subunit ribosomal RNA", at positions 524 to 776 of the family's 1533-position model. The record is from RNAcentral.
GACAGAGGGGGCAAGCGUUGCUCGGAAUCACUGGGCGUAAAGCGCACGUAGGCGGAUUGCUAAGUCAGGGGUGAAAUCCUGGAGCUCAACUCCAGAACUGCCUUUGAUACUGGCGAUCUCGAGUCCGGGAGAGGUGAGUGGAACUGCGAGUGUAGAGGUGAAAUUCGUAGAUAUUCGCAAGAACACCAGUGGCGAAGGCGGCUCACUGGCCCGGUACUGACGCUGAGGUGCGAAAGCGUGGGGAGCAAACAGG